Molecule: ribosomal RNA, 468 nt
Filed under: uncultured bacterium
Lineage: Bacteria
Description: partial 16S ribosomal RNA
Rfam family: Bacterial small subunit ribosomal RNA
Source: RNAcentral
GACGAACGCUGGCGGCGUGCUUAACACAUGCAAGUCGAACGGAAAGGCCCUGCUUUUGUGGGGUGCUCGAGUGGCGAACGGGUGAGUAACACGUGAGUAACCUGCCCUUGACUUUGGGAUAACUUCAGGAAACUGGGGCUAAUACCGGAUAGGAGCUCCUGCUGCAUGGUGGGGGUUGGAAAGUUUCGGCGGCUGGGGAUGGACUCGCGGCUUAUCAGCUUGUUGGUGGGGUAGUGGCUUACCAAGGCUUUGACGGGUAGCCGGACUGAGAGGGUGACCGGCCACAUUGGGACUGAGAUACGGCCCAGACUCCUACGGGAGGCAGCAGUGGGGAAUAUUGCACAAUGGGCGGAAGCCUGAUGCAGCAACGCCGCGUGCGGGAUGACGGCCUUCGGGUUGUAAACCGCUUUCGCCUGUGACGAAGCGUGAGUGACGGUAAUGGGUAAAGAAGCACCGGCUAACUAAGUG